Molecule: ribosomal RNA, 497 nt
Filed under: uncultured bacterium
Lineage: Bacteria
Description: partial 16S ribosomal RNA
Rfam family: Bacterial small subunit ribosomal RNA
Source: RNAcentral
GAUGGACGCUGGCGGUGUGCCUAAUACAUGCAAGUCGAGCGAACAGACGAGGAGCUUACUCCUCUGACGUUAGCGGCGGACGGGUGAGUAACACGUGGAUAACCUACCUAUAAGACUGGGAUAACUUCGGGAAACCUGAGCUAAUACCGGAUAACAUGUUGAACCGCAUGGUUCAACAGUGAAAGACGGUCUUGCUGUCACUUAUAGAUGGAUCCGCGUCGCAUUAGCUAGUUGGUAAGGUAACGGCUUACCAAGGCAACGAUGCGUAGCCGACCUGAGAGGGUGAUCAGUCACACUGGAACUGAGACACGGUCCAGACUCCUACGGGAGGCAGCAGUGGGGAAUCUUCCGCAAUGGGCGAAAGCCUGACGGAGCAACGCCGCGUGAGUGAAGAAGGUCUUCGGAUCGUAAAACUCUGUUAGUAGGGAAGAAGAAAUGUGUAAGUAACUAUGCACGUCUUGACGGUACCUAAUCAGAAAGCCACGGCUAACUACGUG